Non-coding RNA from Chiloscyllium plagiosum (whitespotted bambooshark), 441 nucleotides. NCBI's taxonomy places the organism in Eukaryota, Metazoa, Chordata, Chondrichthyes, Orectolobiformes, Hemiscylliidae. The record is from RefSeq and is a predicted model, not a curated record.
CUGAGGCCCUGGAUCUCCUGCUCAUGCUUCUGCAGCAUGGAUGCGAUAGGUUGGACCUGGGCACGAACCUCCCCAUGAACUUCCUCAAUCGCAGCCCUAACUUUCAAGCUUUUACUGAGGAACAGCUCUCACAGGUGAAAUGGAAGCAGUCCUUUGCUUGCCCUUCCAGUGGAAAACAAUGGCCUUAAUUUAAUCGUUGAGCUUGCUACCAAUUGGGACCCCACUCACUGCCCUCAGACCCAGCUCAAUUUAAUUUGAUCAGUUGCAGCCAGUUCACUGGGGCCCAGCUGCCAUCCAAUCCCCACCCCUAUCUUUUCCCCAUUGUAAGGGAAGCUGAUUUUCGACCUUCCUGAUGAGCAAGCACAGAUUCAGUUAUUCAGUUCAAUAUAUCCUCCCACCGCUGCCCAAGAGCACAAAUAAAGAAAAGACCAAAAAGGAAAA